Molecule: ribosomal RNA, 430 nt
Filed under: uncultured bacterium
Lineage: Bacteria
Description: bacterial SSU rRNA
Rfam family: Bacterial small subunit ribosomal RNA
Source: RNAcentral
UUAGGGAUCUUGCGCAAUGGACGAAAGUCUGACGCAGCGACGCCGCGUGUGUGAAGAAGGCCUUCGGGUUGUAAAGCACUGUCGAACGGGACGAAUGAGGCAGGGGGGAAAGUUCCCUGUCUGUGACGGUACCGUUAAAGGAAGCACCGGCUAACUCCGUGCCAGCAGCCGCGGUAAUACGGAGGGUGCGAGCGUUGUUCGGAUUUAUUGGGCGUAAAGCGUGUGUAGGCGGUAUUGUAAGUCUGAUGUGAAAUCCUUGAGCUCAACUCGAGAACUGCAUUGGAUACUGCUUUACUAGAGUGUCGGAGAGGGUACUGGAAUUCCAGGUGUAGAGGUGAAAUUCGUAGAUAUCUGGAAGAACACCGGUGGCGAAGGCGGGUACCUGGACGAUAACUGACGCUGAGACACGAAAGCGUGGGGAGCAAACAGG